GACGAACGCUGGCGGCGUGCUUAACACAUGCAAGUCGAACGAGGUCCAGCCGAUCCUUCGGGGGAAGCGAAGACCUAGUGGCGAACGGGUGCGUAACACGUGAGAAACCUGCCCCGGACUUGGGAAUAACAGUCGGAAACGGCUGCUAAUACCGAAUAUCUUCGUAGCGUCGCAUGGCGCAUCGAAGAAAGCUUUUGCGGUCUGGGAGGGUCUCGCGGCCUAUCAGCUAGUUGGUGAGGUAACGGCUCACCAAGGCAUCGACGGGUAGCUGGUCUGAGAGGAUGAUCAGCCACACUGGGACUGAGACACGGCCCAGACUCCUACGGGAGGCAGCAGUGGGGAAUAUUGCACAAUGGGCGAAAGCCUGAUGCAGCAACGCCGCGUGCGGGAAGAAGGCCUUAGGGUUGUAAACCGCUUUCAGCAGGGAAGAAACUGACGGUACCUGCAGAAGAAGGUGCGGCCAACUACGUGC
This 472-nucleotide ribosomal RNA is filed under the name uncultured bacterium. RNAcentral's name for it is "bacterial SSU rRNA". It matches the Rfam family "Bacterial small subunit ribosomal RNA", at positions 28 to 508 of the family's 1533-position model. The record is from RNAcentral.